RNAcentral lists this ribosomal RNA (274 nucleotides) under uncultured bacterium. RNAcentral describes it as "partial 16S ribosomal RNA". It matches the Rfam family "Bacterial small subunit ribosomal RNA", at positions 523 to 796 of the family's 1533-position model. The record is from RNAcentral.
AUACGGAGGGUGUAAGCGUUGUUCGGAAUUACUGGGCGUAAAGCGCGCGUAGGCGGAUUGGUCAGUUAGGGGCGAAAUCCCAGGGCUUAACCCUGGAACUGCCUCUAAUACUGCCAGUCUUGAGUUCGGGAGAGGUGAGUGGAAUUCCUAGUGUAGAGGUGAAAUUCGUAGAUAUUAGGAAGAACACCAGUGGCGAAGGCGGCUCACUGGCCCGAUACUGACGCUGAGGCGCGAAAGCGUGGGGAGCAAACAGGAUUAGAUACCCCAGUAGUCC